Molecule: long non-coding RNA, 2746 nt
Filed under: Hordeum vulgare
Lineage: Eukaryota; Viridiplantae; Streptophyta; Magnoliopsida; Poales; Poaceae
Description: long non-coding RNA (HVUL_LNC002137)
Source: RNAcentral
CACGAUGAGGAACUAGGAAGGAGAGGUUGAUACUUCAGAUAUGUUCUACGCUGAUAAUGAUGGUGGUAGUGGCUUACGAUUCAGAUGGAUGGGGUGGAGAAUAGCAUGAAUUAAUCUUCAAAUCCAACAAGGCAUCGCUUCACCAUGGAUGGCUACGACGGCGGUGGAAUGGAAGAGCUCAAUGUGUUCUGUAAGAUGGUUGUCUGGUAUGUGGAGUGAAGAUGCAUCUAGCAUCAACUUCUUGGUUAUUGAGGUGAUUCUGAUUUCCUAAAAAUAUUUGUGCUACACAUACGUGAUGGAUUUAUGCUUAUAGCUUAUAUAUGGGAUUCUAUUUCAGGACACCUUUCCCUGGUGGUGCUACCGGCGCCCAAAUAUCUCAUUUCUCUUGAUCAUAUAGUGAAAGCAAUUCGCUCCGAUUAGCCCAAAUUCCCCAAAAUUAAUAUUUGAAAAGUUUUGUCUGAUCAAAUAUCUUAAAUAUUGACACGUACUUCCUUAGUACGGAAUUACUUGUCGCUCAAACGGAUGUGCUAGAUACAUCAAUUUGACUAACAAGUAACUCUGGGCGGAGGGAGUAUAUAUUUGACAAUGCCUAUUAUUUUUUAUUGCUCUUGCUGGGAAGGGAUAAGUGUUAUGAAUUGUUGAGCUUAAAGAUAAGCACAUAGAAGAUGGAAAAUAGAAUAUUACUUAUGUGUUGUUGUGCUAGAUUAUCUCCUGAAGCGAAAAGUUAACAAAUUCGAUGCAAUGAAGUCAAUAAGGGAGUAGGCGCUCAAGGGAACAAAGGGUAGAAGAAUAUAAGGAUGUAAAAACUAACCUGUUAGGAGCGGCUUCACAAAAACUAAGGUCUAAAAAUUUGGAUAAUGCACAUUAAUGGAUUUUUUUGUUUAUUCAUUUCAUUCCAAGAUAUAUUGAAAGACUUGCUUCGGUGGUGCCAGACCCCGUUAGCAGCAUUGCAAAGCUUUUGAUUUAGAGCAAAGCUAUACAACCAAGGAAACUGGAUUUAAAUAUUUUACUGCACCCUAAUCUUUAUCCUGACCCAAUAUAUUUGCAGAUAUCUAUGUCUUUCUGAUCUUUGUGGAGGCUGCUUAUCUCACAAUUUUUUUCUAUCCCGCCUAGGAAAAUAGAUUGUACAAUAUUAAUUCAGUCGAACAACACGAGUAUCAUGCCUGCCUACUGUAGUUAUUUUUGACAAUAUAAUCUGUUCACACAUCAUUACAAGGUUCCUUAAAACUACCUUUGUAUAUAUUUCAGACCAAGGUCUAAGAGUAUUCAGCCAAUCAUACUUUCAAACCAGCAGAGAAUGUGAAAGAGAAUAUUUAUAUUUAGGCUUACUAACUUUUAACGAACAAUGUGGUUCUCAUAUGAAUGUGUGUAAUUUUAUUCUAUUCAUCAGGGUGUAAAUCACAAGAGAACCGUGCAAUGAGAUUCUUGUUAGACUGGUGAGGAUAGUGCCAUAUUCUUAUAUUGUUUUGCUCAAUAAUAUUGAAGCGUUGGGCCCUUCUUGUUCUAUAUGUCCAUGGGGAAGAUGGACCUCAUGCCCCUGGGUGUAUGAAGAGGUAAAUGGUUCAAAUUUGUGCAUAUGCUUAUCGUCGGAUAGGAUUAGGUGAUUAGAUACGUGAGCAUUUAACAAUAAACUGGAUUCACGAAGCAAACACAAGGGACUCAAUGAGGCAGAGUGUCUUAGCUUUUGUUUUCCUAUGUUAGUAUAUUUAUAUUUCAAUACAAACAUUGUGGGAUGUGAAGUAAAUUGUUCUACACGUCACUGAUUGUGCAGGAGUAGGGAGAGUCAUCCACCGGAUAGGACCCCAUGUCCGGAGAGGGUUGUGCACUUGAGAAGAGACAAUCAGGUACACAGACAAGUUGGGUGACCAUGUUCUUGAGCUUUUCAUCCAUUUGAUUCAUUAGGAGAGCCAUAUGAUUUGUAUAACUUAUAUUUCUGGGAGCAUGGUUUUAUAAUUCACUAUGGGAAAAGUCAGUUAAACACAAAGAAUAUGAAAUGCUUGCAAAAAAUACUUUGUGGUUGCUCUGUAUCUUAACUGGGUUGGUAUAGAAUCAAGUUCAGGUUCACCGGUGCUGAUAAUGGAAAUUUAUAUCUGCACAGGGGAGGCCUACAUAGGAGAACAGUAUGUCUUGGCGCUGUGAAUACCCAACAUUGGUUCGACUUUCCACACAUCAGACAAGGGGUGGCACAUUACUAAGCACAGAGUCUCGCACAAUCAUUCAUUCAUGCCCACAUGUGGCGACAAGGUUCAUUAGCAGUCGCGCAAGGAGAUAUAUCAGUACAGAAAGAACUUGGUAAAACUGCUAAGGCAAAACUUUCCUUGACCAUGAAUUCAAGGCCAAAUUUUGCACCUUCUUUUCCUCCAAUUAUCCGUUCCAGUUUGAUUAGGAUGAGACGUGUUUCGGUUAGCAUGAUUGUUUGUAAAUGGUCACCACCCUCCCUGUACUUUUGUUGUUGUCACUUCAUUAAUUAUUUCCCCAAAAGAUAACAUUGUAGAAAUCAGACAAGGUCUUAUGUCAAGUCUCGGGGCGUAGAAUCUAUUUCAUAGAGGUCGGUUAUCCUAUCUUUGUAUUGUUUUCUCUUUGCAUGGAUGAAGGUAUUUUUCGAAGAAUCCUUCUUAUGCUUGUUUGGAGUUUAACUAGAGGUACUUGUGGAGUGUGUUAUGAAGAUUGCUCCAUAGGAACUUUGAUCAAAUUGUUUGAUGACAUAUCACUAUCAUUCUUCUUCUACUUGAGAAAAAUAAAGUUU